CCUACGGGAGGCAGCAGUGGGGAAUAUUGCUCAAUGGGCGGAAGCCUGAAGCAGCAACGCCGCGUGGGGGAUGAAGGUUUUAGGAUUGUAAAAUCCUUUUUUUCGAGAAGCUUAGGACGGUAUCUAACGAAUAAGCACCGGCUAACUACGGGCCAGCAGCCGCGGGAAUACGGAGGGUGCAAGCGUUACUCGGAAUCACUGGGCGUAAAGAGUGCGUAGGCGGGGUAAUAAGUCAGGUGUGAAAUCCUGGAGCCUAAAUACAGAACUGCAGUUGAAACUGGUCCGCUGGAGUGUGGGAGAGGUAGGUGGAAUGCGUGGUGUAGGGGUAAAAUCCGUAGAGAUCGAGAAGAAUACUCAUUGCGAAGGCGACCUGCUGGAACCUCACUGACGCUGAUGCACGAAAGCGUGGGGAGCGAACAGGAUUAGAUACCCGGGUAGUC
Molecule: ribosomal RNA, 440 nt
Filed under: uncultured bacterium
Lineage: Bacteria
Description: partial 16S ribosomal RNA
Rfam family: Bacterial small subunit ribosomal RNA
Source: RNAcentral